GACGAACGCUGGCGGCGUGCUUAACACAUGCCAGUCGAACGAAGAGCGAUGGAAGCUUGCUUCUAUCAAUCUUAGUGGCGAACGGGUGAGUAACGCGUAAUCAACCUGCCCUUCAGAGGGGGACAACAGUUGGAAACGACUGCUAAUACCGCAUACGAUCUAAUCUCGGCAUCGAGGAUAGAUGAAAGGUGGCCUCUACAUGUAAGCUAUCACUGAAGGAGGGGAUUGCGGCUGAUUAGCUAGUUGGAGGGGUAACGGCCCACCAAGGCGAAGAUCAGUAGGCGGUCUGAGAGGAUGAACGGCCACAUUGGGACUGAGACACGGCCCAGACUCCUACGGGAGGCAGCAGUGGGGAAUCUUCCGCAAUGGACGAAAGUCUGACGGAGCAACGCCGCGUGAGUGAUGACGGCCUUCGGGUUGUAAAGCUCUGUUAAUCGGGACGAAAGGCCUUCUUGCGAAUAGUGAGAAGGAUUGACGGUACCGGAAUAGAAAGCCACGGCUAACUACGUG
Molecule: ribosomal RNA, 510 nt
Filed under: uncultured bacterium
Lineage: Bacteria
Description: partial 16S ribosomal RNA
Rfam family: Bacterial small subunit ribosomal RNA
Source: RNAcentral